GGGCGGUUAGCUCAGUGGGAGAGCACUUCCCUGACACGGAAGGGGUCACAAGUUCAAAUCUUGUACCGCCCACCA
RNAcentral lists this transfer RNA (75 nucleotides) under Berryella intestinalis. RNAcentral describes it as "tRNA-Val (GAC) (tRNA-Val-GAC-1-1)". It matches the Rfam family "tRNA". Rfam says of the family: Transfer RNA (tRNA) molecules are approximately 80 nucleotides in length. Their secondary structure includes four short double-helical elements and three loops (D, anti-codon, and T loops). Further hydrogen bonds mediate the characteristic L-shaped molecular structure. tRNAs have two regions of fundamental functional importance: the anti-codon, which is responsible for specific mRNA codon recognition, and the 3' end, to which the tRNAs corresponding amino acid is attached (by aminoacyl-tRNA synthetases). tRNAs cope with the degeneracy of the genetic code in two manners: having more than one tRNA (with a specific anti-codon) for a particular amino acid; and 'wobble' base-pairing, i.e. permitting non-standard base-pairing at the 3rd anti-codon position. Lineage: Bacteria; Bacillati; Actinomycetota; Coriobacteriia; Eggerthellales; Eggerthellaceae. RNAcentral also lists the same sequence under 1 other name. The record is from RNAcentral.